RNAcentral lists this ribosomal RNA (253 nucleotides) under uncultured bacterium. RNAcentral's name for it is "partial 16S ribosomal RNA". It matches the Rfam family "Bacterial small subunit ribosomal RNA", at positions 524 to 776 of the family's 1533-position model. The record is from RNAcentral.
UACGGAGGUUGCAACCGUUGCUCGGAAUCAUUGGGCGUAAAGCGCACGUAGGCGGCCUGUUAAGUCGGGUGUGAAAGCCCUGGGCUCAACCCAGGAAGUGCACUCGAAACUGACGGGCUUGAAUAUGGAAGAGGGUCGCGGAAUUCCCGGUGUAGAGGUGAAAUUCGUAGAUAUCGGGAGGAACACCAGUGGCGAAGGCGGCGACAUGGGCCAAUAUUGACGCUGAGGUGCGAAAGCGUGGGGAGAAAACAGG